Long non-coding RNA from Cyprinodon tularosa, 1524 nucleotides. RefSeq lists it as uncharacterized. The transcript is spliced from 4 exons. Lineage: Eukaryota; Metazoa; Chordata; Actinopteri; Cyprinodontiformes; Cyprinodontidae. The record is from RefSeq and is a predicted model, not a curated record.
GUCAUUGUAACGUACAUUGAAAGCAUAUUUUAAAAGUACACAUUUUAAUAUCGACACUGUAAUAUUAAGUUUGAGUGCAUUUUAAGUUACAUUUGAAUCUAAUUAUGAAGUGAAGUUAUAUACGCUUGUACUUCAGGUAAUUCUUUUGGAAAGUGUUCAAUAGUAUAACUACAAAAAUGCACUUAAACCCUAUUAUGCAAUUUUGUGCUGUGUGUAAAGUACACAGAUAGCAAUUAUUGCAGUUGUUAUGUAAUGUUUAAUAAGUUUUGAAAAAGAAAUAUGAUACAAUACAUCUUACACACAAAACCACAUUGAACAAAACACUAAAUGUUCACUUCAAAAGUACAGGUGCACAAAAAUGUGUGUUCUGCUGAAAAGCAAGUGGUUUAAAGCUGGUGCAGUGCUACAUUAUGAUCUAACAAAUAGCAUAACCCACAUUGCAACAGAAAAGUUAAUACUGGCCAAAUGCAAAAGAAAUAAACUUAACACAUUACAAUUGUCUCAAGUGUUCAAAAAAGAACAUUUCAUUAGUAUUGUUUAAUGGAUCAAAGCAGGGCUACUGCAAACAAGACCAAUUGGUGAGUGCACAUAUUUAAAAGUCGCUGACAGCACUUCAUGCAUAUAGGAGUGAUAUGUGGAGGUUGUUUGGCCUUGAUGUCUGUAAAGUAGUAGCUCCCCAAGAAUUUUAGUCUUGGGGAGUUUUUGGUUCAGUACUGAUAUCAGAAUUCCCAUAGACUUUGAAUGCACCACACCUGCACAGCAGUUAGUCACGGCUCCUCCCUGCUCAGAGCUAGCGUGCUUUUCUUUUAAGGCCUUGGUCUGCAUGGAGAGAGAAACAGGAGAUGUAAUCGGUUGAGCAGGAAGAUUUGCUGUAUUAUUGUGUUGAAGAAUAUCCUGGCUGUUUUUUUUUUUACAUAGUUGCAGAAUCUGCUGUUACAGCUGAGCAGUUCAUUGUAUGGACUGGACUAGACUCCACCAGAGAUGUUGAUGCAGAAUGUUCCCAAUGUGAAUGCCAUCCGGUUCCCUGGAGGGUGGUAGGAAAAACAAGGAAACUUAAGGAUUUUUCUUCCCUUUCUUUCUGCGGAUUCAUAAUUUUUUUCUUUUCUGAGAUCUCUGACAAUUUUUGUUGUUACUUUGUUUAAUUUUUUUGAUCAGAUCUGAUAAAACCACUUGAUGCAUCAGAUUUAUUUAAAUUCAACUGAAAUGGACAAUUUUUUUUUCUGGUGCACUUAUGGACCCUGACGCUGUUCUUCUGGAGUUUCCGUAGACAAGUGUCUCUGAUGUGCGCACGGCCAUCAGACGAAAAUGUAACAAUGAGCAGUUCAGCCAAAAAAAGGAAAAUAAUGUGUGGUGGGCGUGUUUUUGUAUGGUGGGAGGGUUUAGGGGUGCAAUAAUAAGGAAUGUUGUUUUUCAUUGUUCAGUAUUCCUCUGCGUUCUUUAAAGUUUAUUUGUAAUGUUUAGGUCUGCUGCCUGAAAUUGACAUAUUUCUACAAAGUGUACUAAAGUACCAAUAUUUGAAAAUGU